AUGAGGAACUCACUGUUCUGUUCCAGCCCUCUGUCAGGUACCACCUGUUUGGCACUUUUCGACUCUCAUUUUUUUAAGUCAAGUAUCCCAUCAUGUGAAGAUUUGAGGCUCAGAGUCCUAGCAUUAGAACCACAGCAUGCUGCUUCUUCCGGGAAAAAUGUAUCAUUGGGCUGCUACCAGCUGUAUGCAGAUUCUAGAACCAAAGAGGACAAAUCCUUGCUCAAACUGUAAAGAGGAAAACCAUCUAUCGGGGCCAGCGUUUCACAGAGGAACUAUGCCAUGCAACACAACCUGGGAAACACCACUGAAGCAAGCAGGAUUUCCUCUCCCAUGAGGUCUGGUAUGUAUUCCCUCAAUGUGCUGUAUUUGCAUAAAUCAUAUUAUGUAGGUGGCUGCCUGUUUUGCCCAUGGUCAGGGCCAGCCAUAGAUAGGGUACAACCCUGGAGUGAACAAAACAGGAGUCACUCCUGGGCAGAGAACACAAACUUUGUCAGAAAAUAAAUUACUGGAAACAUUUUUAUUAAAGAAGAGG
RNAcentral lists this long non-coding RNA (532 nucleotides) under Felis catus (domestic cat). RNAcentral's name for it is "lncRNA (ENSFCAG00000041117.2)". Lineage: Eukaryota; Metazoa; Chordata; Mammalia; Carnivora; Felidae. The record is from RNAcentral.